UUGCAGUUAAAAAGCUCGUAGUUGGAUUUCUGCGGGGGCGGGGCGGCCGACAACAACUCGUUGUUCGAGCUAGCACUUCCCCUGCAUCCUGCCGCGAACCGUGCUACCAUUAGUUUGGUGGCGCUGGGGAUCGGCUCGUUUACUUUGAGAAAAAUAGAGUGUUCAAAGCAGGCCACACGCCUUGAAUAAGUUAGCAUGGAAUAAUGAUAAAGGACUUCGGUUCUAUUUUGUUGGUGUUCGGGACUGAAGUAAUGAUUGAUAGGGACAGUUGGGGCGGUCAGUAUUCCAUAGCGAGAGGUGAAAUUCUUAGACCUUCGGAAGACUAACAGCUGCGAAAGCGUUCCGCAAGGAUGUUCCCUUUGAUCAAGAACGAAAGUUGGGGGAUCGAAGACGAUCAGAUACCGUCGUAGUCUCAACUAUAAACUAUACCAGCUAGGGAUCGGCCAACGUUAUUUAAUACCGACUUGGUCGGCACCUUAUGAGAAAUCAAAGCAUCUGGGUUCCGGGGGGAGUAUGGUCGCAAGGCUGAAACUUAAAGGAAUUGACGGAAGGGCACCACCAGCCGUGGAGCCUGUGGCUUAAUUUGACUCAACACGGGAAAACUUACCAGGUCCAGACAUAGUAAGGAUUGACAGAUUGAUAGCUCUUUCU
RNAcentral lists this ribosomal RNA (651 nucleotides) under uncultured marine eukaryote. Its description in RNAcentral is "SSU rRNA". It matches the Rfam family "Eukaryotic small subunit ribosomal RNA", at positions 613 to 1262 of the family's 1831-position model. The record is from RNAcentral.